RNAcentral lists this small RNA (1277 nucleotides) under uncultured beta proteobacterium. RNAcentral describes it as "bacterial SSU rRNA". The stretch from base 1 to 487 matches the Rfam family "Bacterial small subunit ribosomal RNA", at positions 1045 to 1533 of the family's 1533-position model. Lineage: Bacteria; Pseudomonadati; Pseudomonadota; Betaproteobacteria. The record is from RNAcentral.
AUGGCUGUCGUCAGCUCGUGUCGUGAGAUGUUGGGUUAAGUCCCGCAACGAGCGCAACCCUUGUCGUUAAUUGCCAUCAUUUAGUUGGGCACUUUAACGAGACUGCCGGUGACAAACCGGAGGAAGGUGGGGAUGACGUCAAGUCCUCAUGGCCCUUAUGGGUAGGGCUUCACACGUCAUACAAUGGUCGGUACAGAGGGUAGCCAACCCGCGAGGGGGAGCCAAUCUCAGAAAGCCGAUCGUAGUCCGGAUCGCAGUCUGCAACUCGACUGCGUGAAGUCGGAAUCGCUAGUAAUCGCGGAUCAGCAUGUCGCGGUGAAUACGUUCCCGGGCCUUGUACACACCGCCCGUCACACCAUGGGAGUGGGUUCCACCAGAAGUAGCUAGCCUAACCGCAAGGGGGGCGGCUACCACGGUGAGAUUCAUGACUGGGGUGAAGUCGUAACAAGGUAGCCGUAUCGGAAGGUGCGGCUGGAUCACCUCCUUUCUAGAGAGAGUCAGCUGUGCUCCAGUGCCCACGCUUAUCGGUUGUAACCAAAGGCAGGUGCGAAGGGGAGUUAGCUUCGUGCCGCGUGCCUGGGGCCUUGGGCCCGGGUCAUAGACCGGGUCUGUAGCUCAGUUGGUUAGAGCACCGUCUUGAUAAGGCGGGGGUCGAUGGUUCGAAUCCAUCCAGACCCACCAACGCCGGACGCAUCAGCGUUUUUGAGUGCUGUGGGGUGUGUGGGGGUAGGCGGAUACGGGGGUGUAGCUCAGUUGGGAGAGCACCUGCUUUGCAAGCAGGGGGUCAUCGGUUCGAUCCCGUUCACCUCCACCAGUUUUAGUUUCGGGUCUGUAUGUGAACCGUGAUGUGUGAUGAGUGGGCAGUGAAGCGGGUACUGCUUACUCAUCACCUAUUACCAGGUGAGAUUGGCUGUUCUUUAACAAUCUGGAGAAGUAAAGUGUGACGGUUCGAGUGAUCGAGUCGGAGGCGGGGUAUUGCUUCUGACUGGAGAGCGAGGAUCGACACAGGGUUGUGAUUGUAUCGACUGACUCGCGUUCUUAAUCUGGGGCGCGGGUUGGCACAAGCGCGAGAAGUAUUCCUGUGGCCUGGAGAUUUCGAUUGAAUCCCGGAGUAUUGGGGUGGGAUUGAGAGCUUAAGGUUAUAGGGUCAAGCGAAUAAGUGCAUAUGGUGGAUGCCUUGGCGAUCACAGGCGAUGAAGGACGUAGUAGCUUGCGAAAAGUCACGGGGAGCUGGCAAACGAGCUUUGAUCCGUGAAUGUCCGAAUGGGGAAACCCGG